RNAcentral lists this ribosomal RNA (481 nucleotides) under uncultured bacterium. RNAcentral's name for it is "bacterial SSU rRNA". It matches the Rfam family "Bacterial small subunit ribosomal RNA", at positions 17 to 518 of the family's 1533-position model. The record is from RNAcentral.
UUAUGGCUCAGGACGAACGCUGGCGGCGUGCUUAACACAUGCAAGUCGAACGGGAGUAUCAAAGAAGCUUGCUUUAAGAUACUUUAGUGGCGGACGGGUGAGUAACGCGUGAGGAGCUGUCCUAUGCAGGGGGACAACAGUUGGAAACGGCUGCUAAUACCCCAUAAGCCGAGAGGUAAAAAGGAUUAAUCCGGCAAAGGAGGCACUCGCGUCCUAUCAGCUAGUAGGUUGGGUAACGGCCGACCUAGGCGAAGACGGGUAGCCGGCCUGAGAGGGCGAACGGCCACACUGGAACUGAGAUACGGUCCAGACUCCUACGGGAGGCAGCAGUGGGGAAUAUUGGGCAAUGGGGGGAACCCUGAACCCCCAGCGACGCCGCGUGGGUGAAGAAAUCCUUCGGGAUGUAAAGCCCUGUUGUAUGGGAAGAGUAGAAGACGGUACCAUACGAGGAAGCCCCGGCAAACUACGUGCCAGCAGCUGC